RNAcentral lists this ribosomal RNA (252 nucleotides) under uncultured bacterium. RNAcentral describes it as "partial 16S ribosomal RNA". It matches the Rfam family "Bacterial small subunit ribosomal RNA", at positions 524 to 776 of the family's 1533-position model. The record is from RNAcentral.
UACGGAGGGUGCAAGCGUUGUCCGGAUUUAUUGGGUUUAAAGGGUGCGUAGGCGGCCCGGUAAGUCAGUGGUGAAAGCCUCCAGCUCAACUGGAGAACUGCCAUUGAUACUGCCGGGCUUGAGUACAGACGAGGUUGGCGGAAUUGAUUGUGUAGCGGUGAAAUGCAUAGAUACAAUCAAGAACUCCGAUUGCGUAGCAGCUAACUAGGCUGUAACUGACGCUGAGGCACGAAAGCGUGGGGAGCGAACAGG